RNAcentral lists this ribosomal RNA (614 nucleotides) under Rhodotorula mucilaginosa. RNAcentral describes it as "LSU rRNA". It matches the Rfam family "Eukaryotic large subunit ribosomal RNA", at positions 37 to 664 of the family's 3401-position model. The record is from RNAcentral. Lineage: Eukaryota; Fungi; Basidiomycota; Microbotryomycetes; Sporidiobolales; Sporidiobolaceae.
UGCAUACAUAAGCGGAGGAAAAGAAACUAACAAGGAUUCCCCUAGUAGCGGCGAGCGAAGCGGGAAGAGCUCAAAUUUAUAAUCUGGCACCUUCGGUGUCCGAGUUGUAAUCUCUAGAAAUGUUUUCCGCGUUGGACCGCACACAAGUCUGUUGGAAUACAGCGGCAUAGUGGUGAGACCCCCGUAUAUGGUGCGGACGCCCAGCGCUUUGUGAUACAUUUUCGAAGAGUCGAGUUGUUUGGGAAUGCAGCUCAAAUUGGGUGGUAAAUUCCAUCUAAAGCUAAAUAUUGGCGAGAGACCGAUAGCGAACAAGUACCGUGAGGGAAAGAUGAAAAGCACUUUGGAAAGAGAGUUAACAGUACGUGAAAUUGUUGGAAGGGAAACGCUUGAAGUCAGACUUGCUUGCCGAGCAAUCGGUUUGCAGGCCAGCAUCAGUUUUCCGGGAUGGAUAAUGGUAGAGAGAAGGUAGCAGUUUCGGCUGUGUUAUAGCUCUCUGCUGGAUACAUCUUGGGGGACUGAGGAACGCAGUGUGCCUUUGGCGGGGGUUUCGACCUCUUCACACUUAGGAUGCUGGUGGAAUGGCUUUAAACGACCCGUCUUGAAACCCGGGACCA